UUGAAAAAUUAGCGGAUGACUUGUGGCUGGGGGUGAAAGGCCAAUCAAACCGGGAGAUAGCUGGUUCUCCCCGAAAGCUAUUUAGGUAGCGCCUCGUGAAUUCAUCUCCGGGGGUAGAGCACUGUUUCGGCAAGGGGGUCAUCCCGACUUACCAACCCGAUGCAAACUGCGAAUACCGGAGAAUGUUAUCACGGGAGACACACGGCGGGUGCUAACGUCCGUCGUGAAGAGGGAAACAACCCAGACCGCCAGCUAAGGUCCCAAAGUCAUGGUUAAGUGGGAAACGAUGUGGGAAGGCCCAGACAGCCAGGAUGUUGGCUUAGAAGCAGCCAUCAUUUAAAGAAAGCGUAAUAGCUCACUGGUCGAGUCGGCCUGCGCGGAAGAUGUAACGGGGCUAAACCAUGCACCGAAGCUGCGGCAGCGACGCUUAUGCGUUGUUGGGUAGGGGAGCGUUCUGUAAGCCUGCGAAGGUGUGCUGUGAGGCAUGCUGGAGGUAUCAGAAGUGCGAAUGCUGACAUAAGUAACGAUAAAGCGGGUGAAAAGCCCGCUCGCCGGAAGACCAAGGGUUCCUGUCCAACGUUAAUCGGGGCAGGGUGAGUCGACCCCUAAGGCGAGGCCGAAAGGCGUAGUCGAUGGGAAACAGGUUAAUAUUCCUGUACUUGGUGUUACUGCGAAGGGGGGACGGAGAAGGCUAUGUUGGCCGGGCGACGGUUGUCCCGGUUUAAGCGUGUAGGCUGGUUUUCCAGGCAAAUCCGGAAAAUCAAGGCUGAGGCGUGAUGACGAGGCACUACGGUGCUGAAGCAACAAAUGCCCUGCUUCCAGGAAAAGCCUCUAAGCAUCAGGUAACAUCAAAUCGUACCCCAAACCGACACAGGUGGUCAGGUAGAGAAUACCAAGGCGCUUGAGAGAACUCGGGUGAAGGAACUAGGCAAAAUGGUGCCGUAACUUCGGGAGAAGG
Molecule: ribosomal RNA, 958 nt
Filed under: Escherichia coli
Lineage: Bacteria; Pseudomonadati; Pseudomonadota; Gammaproteobacteria; Enterobacterales; Enterobacteriaceae
Description: partial 23S ribosomal RNA
Rfam family: Bacterial large subunit ribosomal RNA
Source: RNAcentral